UGAACGCUGGCGGCAGGCCUAACACAUGCAAGUCGAGCGAGAAAGCACUUCGGUGUGAGUAUAGCGGCGGACGGGUGAGUAACGCGUAGGAAUCUACCUAGUAGUGGGGGACAACCUGGUGAAAACCAGGCUAAUACCGCAUACGCCCUAAGGGGGAAAGGGGGCUCUUUGAGCUCUUGCUAUUAGAUGAGCCUGCGUAAGAUUAGCUAGUUGGUGGGGUAAUGGCCUACCAAGGCGACGAUCUUUAGCUGGUCUGAGAGGAUGAUCAGCCACACUGGAACUGAGACACGGUCCAGACUCCUACGGGAGGCAGCAGUGGGGAAUAUUGCACAAUGGGCGAAAGCCUGAUGCAGCCAUGCCGCGUGUGUGAAGAAGGCUCUAGGGUUGUAAAGCACUUUCAGUGGGGAGGAAAAGUUGGUAGUUAAUACCUGCCAACCGUGACGUUACCCACAGAAGAAGCACCGGCUAACUCC
This 473-nucleotide ribosomal RNA is filed under the name uncultured bacterium. Its description in RNAcentral is "bacterial SSU rRNA". It matches the Rfam family "Bacterial small subunit ribosomal RNA", at positions 30 to 504 of the family's 1533-position model. The record is from RNAcentral.